GAUGAACGCUAGCGGCAGGCUUAACACAUGCAAGUCGAGGGGUAGGGAAAGCUUGCUUUUCUGAGACCGGCGCACGGGUGCGUAACGCGUAUGCAAUCUACCUUUCACAAAGGGAUAGCCCAGAGAAAUUUGGAUUAAUACCUUAUAGUAAUACAUUUUGGCAUCAAGAAGUAUUUAAAGAUUUAUCGGUGAAAGAUGAGCAUGCGUCCCAUUAGCUAGUUGGUAUGGUAACGGCAUACCAAGGCUACGAUGGGUAGGGGUCCUGAGAGGGAGAUCCCCCACACUGGUACUGAGACACGGACCAGACUCCUACGGGAGGCAGCAGUGAGGAAUAUUGGACAAUGGGCGCAAGCCUGAUCCAGCCAUGCCGCGUGCAGGAUGACGGUCCUAUGGAUUGUAAACUGCUUUUAUACAGGAAGAAACAACGCUACGUGUAGCGUCUUGACGGUACUGUAAGAAUAAGGAUCGGCUAACUCCGUGCCAGCAGCCGCGGUAAUACGGAGGAUCCAAGCGUUAUCCGGAAUCAUUGGGUUUAAAGG
Molecule: ribosomal RNA, 539 nt
Filed under: Flavobacteriales bacterium HD-C-03-1
Lineage: Bacteria; Pseudomonadati; Bacteroidota; Flavobacteriia; Flavobacteriales
Description: bacterial SSU rRNA
Rfam family: Bacterial small subunit ribosomal RNA
Source: RNAcentral